Molecule: ribosomal RNA, 942 nt
Filed under: uncultured bacterium
Lineage: Bacteria
Description: bacterial SSU rRNA
Rfam family: Bacterial small subunit ribosomal RNA
Source: RNAcentral
ACGGGAUCAGUUGUAGCAAUACGACUGUGAGAGUGGCGCACGGGUGCGUAACACGUAUGCAACCUACCUUAAACUGGGGAAUAGCCCCUCGAAAGGGGGAUUAAUACCGCAUAACGAGGCGUGUAGGCAUCUACACUCCUCUAAAACUCCGGUGGUUUAAGAUGGGCAUGCGGCUGAUUAGCUAGUUGGCGAGGUAAUGGCUCACCAAGGCUACGAUCAGUAGGGGGUCUGAGAGGAUGUCCCCCCACACUGGUACUGAGACACGGACCAGACUCCUACGGGAGGCAGCAGUAGGGAAUAUUGGACAAUGGGGGAAACCCUGAUCCAGCCAUGCCGCGUGCAGGAUGACUGCCCUAUGGGUUGUAAACUGCUUUUGUACGGGAAGAAACCACAUUACGUGUAAUGUGUUGACGGUACCGUGAGAAUAAGGAUCGGCUAACUUCGUGCCAGCAGCCGCGGUAAUACGAAGGAUCCUAGCGUUGUCCGGAUUUACUGGGUUUAAAGGGUGCGUAGGCGGACUUUUAAGUCAGUGGUGAAAGCCUGCAGCUUAACUGUAGAAUUGCCAUUGAAACUGAAAGUCUCGAGUGUGGUUGAGGUAGCUGGAAUGUAUCAUGUAGCGGUGAAAUGCUUAGAUAUGAUACAGAACUCCAAUUGCGAAGGCAGGCUACUAAACCAUAACUGACGCUGAGGCACGAAAGCGUGGGGAUCAAACAGGAUUAGAUACCCUGGUAGUCCACGCCCUAAACGUUGCAUACUCGGUUUUGGCGAUAUACAGUCAGGACCCAAGCGAAAGCGUUAAGUAUGCCACCUGGGAAGUACGAUCGCAAGAUUGAAACUCAAAGGAAUUGACGGGGGCCCGCACAAGCGGAGGAGCAUGUGGUUUAAUUCGAUGAUACGCGAGGAACCUUACCUGGGCUUGAAUGUGAGUGACCGCUGCCGAAA